GAACCAGUAGCUCAGCGGUAGAGCGCUUGCCGUCAAUGGCGAGGUCGUCGGUUCAACUCCGAUCUGGUACG
This is a non-coding RNA of Knufia fluminis, 71 nucleotides long. The record is from the annotation of a GenBank genome assembly. Lineage: Eukaryota; Fungi; Ascomycota; Eurotiomycetes; Chaetothyriales; Trichomeriaceae.